GGGCCCGCACAAGCGGAGGAACAUGUGGUUUAAUUCGAUGAUACGCGAGGAACCUUACCCGGGCUUGAAAUGCAUCUGGCGUCCCGAGAGAUCGGGAUUUCCUUCGGGACAGAUGUGUAGGUGCUGCAUGGUUGUCGUCAGCUCGUGCCGUGAGGUGUCGGCUUAAGUGCCAUAACGAGCGCAACCCUCAUCGUUAGUUGCCAUCAGGUAGAGCUGGGGACUCUAACGAGACUGCCAUCGUAAGAUGCGAGGAAGGUGGGGAUGACGUCAAAUCAGCACGGCCCUUACGUCCGGGGCGACACACGUGUUACAAUGGGUGGUACAAAGGGCAGCUACAUGGCGACAUGAUGCCAAUCUCCAAACCACUCUCAGUUCGGAUCGGAGUCUGCAACUCGACUCCGUGAAGCUGGAUUCGCUAGUAAUCGCGCAUCAGCCACGGCGCGGUGAAUACG
This 452-nucleotide ribosomal RNA is filed under the name uncultured Bacteroidales bacterium. RNAcentral describes it as "bacterial SSU rRNA". It matches the Rfam family "Bacterial small subunit ribosomal RNA", at positions 917 to 1370 of the family's 1533-position model. The record is from RNAcentral. Lineage: Bacteria; Pseudomonadati; Bacteroidota; Bacteroidia; Bacteroidales.